RNAcentral lists this transfer RNA (66 nucleotides) under Hyperhalosydna striata. RNAcentral's name for it is "tRNA-Ala". It matches the Rfam family "tRNA". From Rfam's summary of the family: Transfer RNA (tRNA) molecules are approximately 80 nucleotides in length. Their secondary structure includes four short double-helical elements and three loops (D, anti-codon, and T loops). Lineage: Eukaryota; Metazoa; Annelida; Polychaeta; Phyllodocida; Polynoidae. The record is from RNAcentral.
GUUAUAUUAGUUUAAUUUAGAACACCCGCCUUGCACGCGGAAAGUGAGUCUCGUACUCAUCUAACA